Molecule: long non-coding RNA, 3450 nt
Organism: Monodelphis domestica (gray short-tailed opossum)
Lineage: Eukaryota; Metazoa; Chordata; Mammalia; Didelphimorphia; Didelphidae
Source: RefSeq, a predicted model, not a curated record
CUGAGGCUUCAUGGCCAAUUUCUGAAAAUCUAGUACUUAGAAAAUAGGUAUCAAGCAUCAUUCACAAGAAAGUAGCCUCAAUUCUGUUUUAAAAACAGAGACAGAAAUACUCAUAAUUAUCUGUCAGGAGGGAAGGACAGUAACCCUGGUAAGGAAGACAUGUGGUACACAUUGGGAAGAAAGAAAAGCAAGAGCAGGGCAGUGGAAUAUUUGUGGGGAAUAACAAUGAGAGGGCAGUUGUUGGCCAGAAAAUGGUUUAGCACAUAGCACCAUCUCAGAGGAUCAAACUCUUAUUGCUGAGACCUCAGCCAGAACAGUAUAGUCAUGGAUAUAUUACCAAUCCUUUUAGGAGGAUGGUCUACCAAAAGUGUAUUUUGUGUGAUGGUGGAAAGGGAAGGGGUAGUAAAAAAGUCUCUGACUUUCUAUGGAAUUCAAACUCUUUUUGUGAUGUUUACUGUGCAAAUAACAUUCCUAGGUUUUGAAGCUUUUUGAACCUGAAUGUUUUAAGAGGACCAGCUGGUCAGUCUUUGCAGGUGCAAGAUAUUGCAUUCCUCGUGUUCUUAUUGUGUGGGGAUAAAUCAGAGAAAUGAGAGAUUCCCCCCAAAAUACUUGGAUCCUUUGUGUUAGAAGGAAGUCCAUGUCACAUUGUUAGGAUCAUUCAUUUUGAACUGGAAGGGGCCUUAGAGAUGAUCUACUUCAUUCUCCUCAUUUUUCACAUGAGAAAUCAAUUAAUAAACAUUUAUUAAAUACCUAUUAUGGGCCAGGCACUGUGCUAAGCAAUGAGGGUGUACAAAGAAGUAAAAGACAGCCCCUUCCUUCAAGAAGCUUACAAUGUAAUGGGGAAACAAAGUUCAAGUAACUUGCCUGAAAUCACACAGGUACCAUGUGACUGAAGCAGGAUUUAAAUAGAGGUCCUUUGGCUCCAAAUACAGAGUUUUUCUCACUAUACCAUUAUUGUAUUUGCUUCACAUCAGAAUUAAAGUGUACUAUAGUGGGAGAGUUAAGAGUUAAUCUAAUGGUAAAGAAAGAGGUAAGGAAGAAGACACGGAGAUUGAAGAGAGACAGUACACAGUCAAUAUGGGAAUCUGGAAGGAUGUAGGAGAUUCAUUUGUCUACUGCCUGAAUGUGUCUUGCUCUUCAGAAGAGAUUUUAGGCAAAUUAUAAAAGGAAUAGUAUCUAUAAUCUAGAUAGGAAGUGACUGAGGUAUGAGGUAUGAGUAACAAAAGCUGAGGGCAGAGCCAACAGAAGGGUGGAUCCUGGGGACUUUUUUGCCAAUAAUGAAUUGAGAUUUAUAGCAAGGAAGGUUCUCAGUACAAUGAAUAGCUACUAUAUUUUUUUUUAUUCUUGGAGGAAAAAAAAGUUCAGGUCUUAUUUAAGCAACACAUCAGCAAACAUGAAAAAUACACGUAAUAUCCUGAACCUAACAAUAUAUUAUAUACACAACAUCCAUGCGAAGCCAAAAACUUAGUGGGAGAGAAACUAAUGUAAGGUUGAUGAUAAAUCAAUCCAAAAAAACUUGGCCAAAAGUUAAGACGUGUCUAUGUUUGGCCCACAGGCUAUUAAACUGACAGUUGUUUGUUCAUAAGGAAAAAGAGAUCACUUUUAAUUCAAGUAAAUGCGUGGUAAAGAAAAGAGGAAAAGCCUGGUGCCUCUCUCACUUUUAGAAUGGCAUGAAAGGGAAAUAGAAAAUGAGAAGAUGGGAAGAGAGCCACUAACUAAAUAAAAUAGAAAUCUCCUAGACCUAAACCAUCAAACUGGAAAUGCCAGGAAUACAAUUAACAAGGAUAUAUUACAUCACUAGCCCCAAGAUUUUAUAAGGGCAAGAGAAGCAAACUACAGGGAAAAAAUGGGUUAUGAAACCUCUUAAUAUUGGCAUUGAGUGAAAAAGGUAUUCCGGUUUCUGAUGAAAACUUUUGGUUAUUUCCUUUAAACCAGUAGGAUGGAAGGAAUUGUCUGCUAUGGUUUAAAUUUCUCUCCAGAGUAACUGAAACCAAAUUCCAAGACUGUAAAUGUAAUAUUUGCAAGGAAUAGAGGCAGAGAAUUGUGAAAGUACAGCAGCAGCUCCGGGAAGGGUAAAGGAAAGAACCCACUUUUUAUUAUAAAAGAUUUUCCCUACUUCUUCACUUCCCAUCACAAAACAAAAACAAAACACCUAUAUAAACUAAAACUCCAAAACAGAUGUAGAAGUGACACAGCCAGAACAAUGAAAUCGAAAUCAGAGUAAAAUCAGUAUGACUCAAAUGCUUCUUCCAUGGGUGUUACUUUGAUUCCACCCAAGGGCCCUGGGGGGCCUUAUCUCACCCACCCACAAGUGCAUCAAAUGCUGCUUUCCAAAGAAGAGAGAGGGGGAAACCCUAUUAUUAUUGCUGCCACUCUUAUUGGGGAAUACUAUUAUUCAGCUAUUAGGUCUGUACCUGCAGAUUAUAUUCAGAAAUCCAAGUCCCCUGAAGUAACUAGCUUUACAUCACAGUGUGAGUAGGAGUAGUGGUACUCUUUAUUCUUUCCCUCUUCCCCAUCCUCAACCCCCAGUUCUCUCCAAUAACCUGAUACCACAGAAAUUACUCAGAUAACUUUAUGAAGAUUAUCUAAUCCUGUAUGAUCCCUUUUCCUAUACAGGUAGUCAUGCUGGCAGAUGUGAUGAAAGCUCAACGAUGACUAAUGCCUCCAUUCUAAAUAAGGAUAACUUGAAAGUCGUCCUUUUGUUCAGCUGUGGCAUCUUCUGCUGGACCAAAUACUCUGAUUCUUUCGCCACUGUUAUCAUGAGAAUGUCAAGACUGAUAUGACCCAAGUUCCUUCAAGUGUUUCAUCUACGGUGUACCUUCAUGUGGCUUUGGAGUCCAAAGGCUGAGGCGCAGAGUCUGUGGCACACGGGGCCUGGGACGCCAGUUGUUACGGGAGGUGCGGCUGUGGCCUGGUGUCGGCGUUCACGCGCAGCGGCAAGACGUCAACUUCACUCAUCUUCAAAGGCGGCGGCGGCAUGGUUAAUGUGGGUUCGCCAGCUGCUUCUGACAGAGGCAGCAAGUUCUAGUUGCUUUGGCGUAAUGCCAGCCCACUUCAGGUUUGACUUUAGCUGAUCCUUGAAUCUUUUCUUUGGUCGGCCUUGUUUCCUGAGUCCAGCUGACAGUUCACCAUAGAAUACCUGUCUUGGUAUUCGCUGUGGGUCCAUGCGGAUGACGUGUCCAGACCAUCGUAGCUGGGUUCUGAGGACCAUGACUUCGAUGCUGAUGGAGUUGGCUCUGUCGAGGACUUCCUGGUUGGUGAUUCUUGUAUCUAUACCCCAGGUCCCAAUCCUAACUAAAUUUCCCUAAAAAAAAAAACCUAUAUCUAUCUGCCUCAGAGGGCAGUAUCUUCUGCUAGGUCGAAACUCUCACCUACUCUCACUAUCUUAAAUAUAAUCACUAUCUACCUACCUUAUCUACCCAAGUUAUUAAUAAUCAAUAAUGCUUUUAA